UCCGUAGGUGAACCUGCGAAAGGAUCAUUAUUGAAUUUAAUGUAGAGUUGGUUGUAGCUGGCCCUUGGAUUAAUUUCUGGGGGCAUGUGCACACCUUCUCUUUCAUCCACACACACCUGUGAACCUGUGAGAUAGUAGUUGGGGACUUUAAUGGACCCACUUCUGUCUACUUAAUUCAUAUAAAAUCAAUUUAAUUUAAAACGAAUGUAAUGGAUGUAACGCAUCUAAUGCUAAGUUUCAACAACGGAUCUCUUGGCUCUCGCAUCGAUGAAGAACGCAGCGAAAUGCGAUAAGUAAUGUGAAUUGCAGAAUUCAGUGAAUCAUCGAAUCUUUGAACGCACCUUGCGCUCCUUGGUAUUCCGAGGAGCAUGCCUGUUUGAGUGUCAUUAAAUUCUCAACUAUUAUCAGCUUUUGCUGAUGAUGGCUUGGAUAUGGGGGUUUAUUUUGCUGGCUUUACAGAAUGUCAGCUCCCCUUAAAUGCAUUAGCCGGUGCCCCGCGUGGACUGUCUAUUGGUGUGAUAAUUAUCUACGCCGUGGACAUCUACAAUCAUAUGGGUUUGCGCUGCUUCCAACCGUCUGUUUACUCAGACAAUACAUGACAAUUUGACCUCAAAUCAGGUAGGACUACCCGCUGAACUUAAGCAUAUCAAUAAGCGGAGGA
RNAcentral lists this ribosomal RNA (661 nucleotides) under uncultured Hebeloma. Its description in RNAcentral is "eukaryotic LSU rRNA". The stretch from base 233 to 386 matches the Rfam family "5.8S ribosomal RNA". Lineage: Eukaryota; Fungi; Basidiomycota; Agaricomycetes; Agaricales; Cortinariaceae. The record is from RNAcentral.